UACGUGCUCCGGGGUCGGUGUAAGUCCGAACCGGCGGUGACAGUCCGCGACCCGCGAGCCGGCACAGAUCCUCUCCAGGAACUGUUCCGGCGGACGGUUGAACCGGUGAAAUUCCGGUACCGACAGUUAAAGUCUGGAUGAGAGAAGCACGUA
RNAcentral lists this non-coding RNA (153 nucleotides) under Arthrobacter sp. RNAcentral's name for it is "FMN sequence". It matches the Rfam family "FMN riboswitch aptamer (RFN element)". From Rfam's summary of the family: The RFN element is a highly conserved domain that is found frequently in the 5'-untranslated regions of prokaryotic mRNAs that encode for flavin mononucleotide (FMN) biosynthesis and transport proteins. This element is a metabolite-dependent riboswitch that directly binds FMN in the absence of proteins. In Bacillus subtilis, the riboswitch most likely controls gene expression by causing premature transcription termination within the 5' untranslated region of the ribDEAHT operon and precluding access to the ribosome-binding site of ypaA mRNA. Lineage: Bacteria; Bacillati; Actinomycetota; Actinomycetes; Micrococcales; Micrococcaceae. The record is from RNAcentral. RNAcentral also lists the same sequence under 1 other name.